CCUGGCUCAGAUUGAACGCUGGCGGCAGGCCUAACACAUGCAAGUCGAGCGGAAACGAGUUAUCUGAACCUUCGGGGAACGAUAACGGCGUCGAGCGGCGGACGGGUGAGUAAUGCCUAGGAAAUUGCCCUGAUGUGGGGGAUAACCAUUGGAAACGAUGGCUAAUACCGCAUGAUGCCUACGGGCCAAAGAGGGGGACCUUCGGGCCUCUCGCGUCAGGAUAUGCCUAGGUGGGAUUAGCUAGUUGGUGAGGUAAGGGCUCACCAAGGCGACGAUCCCUAGCUGGUCUGAGAGGAUGAUCAGCCACACUGGAACUGAGACACGGUCCAGACUCCUACGGGAGGCAGCAGUGGGGAAUAUUGCACAAUGGGCGCAAGCCUGAUGCAGCCAUGCCGCGUGUAUGAAGAAGGCCUUCGGGUUGUAAAGUACUUUCAGUCGUGAGGAAGGUGGUAGUGUUAAUAGCACUAUCAUUUGACGUUAGCGACAGAAGAAGCACCGGCUAACUCCGUGCCAGCAGCCGCGGUAAUACGGAGGGUGCGAGCGUUAAUCGGAAUUACUGGGCGUAAAGCGCAUGCAGGUGGUUUGUUAAGUCAGAUGUGAAAGCCCGGGGCUCAACCUCGGAAUAGCAUUUGAAACUGGCAGACUAGAGUACUGUAGAGGGGGGUAGAAUUUCAGGUGUAGCGGUGAAAUGCGUAGAGAUCUGAAGGAAUACCGGUGGCGAAUGCGGCCCCCUGGACAGAUACUGACACUCAGAUGCGAAAGCGUGGGGAGCAAACAGGAUUAGAU
RNAcentral lists this ribosomal RNA (786 nucleotides) under uncultured bacterium. RNAcentral describes it as "bacterial SSU rRNA". It matches the Rfam family "Bacterial small subunit ribosomal RNA", at positions 18 to 783 of the family's 1533-position model. The record is from RNAcentral.